CCUUGCCAGCCCGCUCAGAACUUACGGAAUUGACGGGGCCCGCACAAGCGGUGGAGUAUGUGGUUUAAUUCGAUGCAACGCGAAGAACCUUACCUGGUCUUGACAUCCCGGAGACCCUUAGGAAACUAGGGGGUGCUUUCCCAUCUGGAAGAAUCUGGAGACAGGUGCUGCAUGGCUGUCGUCAGCUCGUGUCGUGAGAUGCUGGGUUAAGUCCCGCAACGAGCGCAACCCUUGCCUUUAGUUGCCAGCAGUUCGGCUGGGCACUCUAAAGGGACUGCCGGUGUUAAACCGGAGGAAGGUGGGGAUGACGUCAAGUCCUCAUGGCCUUUAUGACCAGGGCUACACACGUACUACAAUGGCCGAUACAAAGGGCAGCGACACUGCGAGGUGAAGCCAAUCCCGUAAAAUCGGUCUCAGUCCGGAUUGGAGUCUGCAACUCGACUCCAUGAAGUUGGAAUCGCUAGUAAUCGUGGAUCAGCAUGCCACGGUGAAUACGUUCCCGGGCCUU
Molecule: ribosomal RNA, 508 nt
Filed under: uncultured Desulfobulbus sp.
Lineage: Bacteria; Pseudomonadati; Thermodesulfobacteriota; Desulfobulbia; Desulfobulbales; Desulfobulbaceae
Description: bacterial SSU rRNA
Rfam family: Bacterial small subunit ribosomal RNA
Source: RNAcentral